ACGGGUGAGUAAUAUAUCGGAACGUGCCCAGUUGUGGGGGAUAACUGCUCGAAAGAGCAGCUAAUACCGCAUACGACCUGAGGGUGAAAGCGGGGGAUCGCAAGACCUCGCGCAAUUGGAGCGGCCGAUAUCAGAUUAGGUAGUUGGUGGGGUAAAGGCCCACCAAGCCAACGAUCUGUAGCUGGUCUGAGAGGACGACCAGCCACACUGGGACUGAGACACGGCCCAGACUCCUACGGGAGGCAGCAGUGGGGAAUUUUGGACAAUGGACGCAAGUCUGAUCCAGCCAUGCCGCGUGCGGGAAGAAGGCCUUCGGGUUGUAAACCGCUUUUGUCAGGGAAGAAAAGGGCGACUCUAAUACAGUUGCCUCAUGACGGUACCUGAAGAAUAAGCACCGGCUAACUACGUGCCAGCAGCCGCGGUAAUACGUAGGGUGCAAGCGUUAAUCGGAAUUACUGGGCGUAAAGCGUGCGCAGGCGGUUAUGCAAGACAGAGGUGAAAUCCCCGGGCUCAACCUGGGAACUGCCUUUGUGACUGCAUGACUAGAGUACGGUAGAGGGGGAUGGAAUUCCGCGUGUAGCAGUGAAAUGC
Molecule: ribosomal RNA, 591 nt
Filed under: Comamonadaceae bacterium RDB-015
Lineage: Bacteria; Pseudomonadati; Pseudomonadota; Betaproteobacteria; Burkholderiales; Comamonadaceae
Description: bacterial SSU rRNA
Rfam family: Bacterial small subunit ribosomal RNA
Source: RNAcentral